UGCGUAGGCGGCUUGGAAAGUUGGGUGUGAAAUCCCUCGGCUCAACCGAGGAAUUGCGCUCAAUACUGCCAAGCUAGAGGGAGACAGAGGUGAGCGGAACUUAGGGUGGAGCGGUGAAAUGCGUUGAUAUCCUAAGGAACACCAGUGGCGAAGGCGGCUCACUGGGUCUCUUCUGACGCUGAGGCACGAAAGCUGGGGGAGCGAACAGGAUUAGAUACCCUGGUAGUC
This 228-nucleotide ribosomal RNA is filed under the name uncultured bacterium. Its description in RNAcentral is "partial 16S ribosomal RNA". It matches the Rfam family "Bacterial small subunit ribosomal RNA", at positions 568 to 795 of the family's 1533-position model. The record is from RNAcentral.